This 407-nucleotide ribosomal RNA is filed under the name uncultured prokaryote. Its description in RNAcentral is "bacterial SSU rRNA". It matches the Rfam family "Bacterial small subunit ribosomal RNA", at positions 355 to 776 of the family's 1533-position model. RNAcentral also lists the same sequence under 1 other name. The record is from RNAcentral.
UGGGGAAUAUUGGGCAAUGGGCGCAAGCCUGACCCAGCAACGCCGCGUGAAUGAUGAAGGUCUUCGGAUUGUAAAGUUCUGUGAUGGGGGACGAAGAAAGUGACGGUACCCCAAUAGCAAGCCUCGGCUAACUACGUGCCAGCAGCCGCGGUAAUACGUAGGAGGCAAGCGUUGUCCGGAAUGACUGGGCGUAAAGGGUGCGUAGCCGGCUUUUCAAGUUGGUAGCGUAAUUCCGGGGCUUAACCUCGGCGCUACUACCAAAACUGUUAAGCUUGAGUGCAGGAGAGGUAAGUGGAAUUCCUAGUGUAGCGGUGGAAUGCGUAGAUAUUAGGAGGAACACCAGUGGCGAAGGCGACUUACUGGACUGUAACUGACGGUGAGGCACGAAAGCGUGGGGAGCAAACAGG